ACCCUCCUGUUUCCUUACCCAUCAUCAGAUCUGACCACUGGCCGGAAUGGUUAUAAAAGGAGGUAAAGUCAAAUAGACCCCGACGGGCAAUGUUUUUGUGGCACACAAGCUAUUUCAAANNNNN
RNAcentral lists this small nucleolar RNA (124 nucleotides) under Echinops telfairi (small Madagascar hedgehog). Its description in RNAcentral is "Small nucleolar RNA SNORA61 (ENSETEG00000026188.1)". The record is from RNAcentral. Lineage: Eukaryota; Metazoa; Chordata; Mammalia; Afrosoricida; Tenrecidae.